RNAcentral lists this ribosomal RNA (609 nucleotides) under uncultured fungus. RNAcentral describes it as "eukaryotic LSU rRNA". The stretch from base 238 to 390 matches the Rfam family "5.8S ribosomal RNA". The record is from RNAcentral. Lineage: Eukaryota; Fungi.
GGAAGUAAAAGUCGUAACAAGGUUUCCGUAGGUGAACCUGCGGAAGGAUCAUUACCGAGUUAGGGUCUUGUAGGCCCAAUCUCCAACCCUGUGUAUAUAUAAUUUCGUUGCUUUGGCAGGCCUGUCUUUGACCAGACUGCCGGAGGUCCCCCGGACCGCCGGAGAGUGCCUGUCAGUAGCCCCCAUUUUAAAUUCGUGAAUAAUCGUGACGUCUGAGUUGAGAUAACAAAUAGUUAAAACUUUCAACAACGGAUCUCUUGGUUCUGGCAUCGAUGAAGAACGCAGCGAAAUGCGAUAAGUAAUGUGAAUUGCAGACCUUGUGAAUCAUCGAAUCUUUGAACGCACAUUGCGCCCAUUGGUAUUCCGAUGGGCAUGCCUGUUCGAGCGUCAUUAUCAACCGUCAAGCUUGGCUUGCUAUUGGACUUGCUGUCCGGCUGAAGGACACGUCCCAAAGACAAUGACCGUGUCGAGUGUGACCCUAGAUGCAAUGAGCUUUGUUAAGCACGCAUGUAAGGGGCCGCCCGGCCCGGCCUCGAACCAUUUUUCUCAGGUUGACCUCGGAUCAGGUAGGGAUACCCGCUGAACUUAAGCAUAUCAAUAAGCGGAGGA